UUAACUCAAAUUGGUAUGGAGUUAAAACGUUUGCCUACCUUUGCCGCUAGGGGCGCUGUUCCAACUGCAUACCAAUUUUAGCUA
Bombyx mori (domestic silkworm) is the source of this 84-nucleotide non-coding RNA. The record is from Rfam. NCBI's taxonomy places the organism in Eukaryota, Metazoa, Arthropoda, Insecta, Lepidoptera, Bombycidae.